GCGCCGCAACGGCGGGUGCCGGUGCUGACGGGCGGUUAGAAACCGUUCUGGCUGGCGUCUUGUUUUCGAACGGCGAUGCGGCACGC
RNAcentral lists this transfer RNA (86 nucleotides) under Atlantibacter hermannii. Its description in RNAcentral is "tRNA-Ser(aga)". Lineage: Bacteria; Pseudomonadati; Pseudomonadota; Gammaproteobacteria; Enterobacterales; Enterobacteriaceae. The record is from RNAcentral.